CGUCUUAUAAUUUAUAAAGAAUGUCGAAUUGCAAAUUUGAAAGAAGGAUAAAACCUUAAGACUU
This 64-nucleotide transfer RNA is filed under the name Dreissena rostriformis. RNAcentral's name for it is "tRNA-Cys". The record is from RNAcentral. Lineage: Eukaryota; Metazoa; Mollusca; Bivalvia; Myida; Dreissenidae.